This 301-nucleotide ribosomal RNA is filed under the name uncultured bacterium. Its description in RNAcentral is "bacterial SSU rRNA". It matches the Rfam family "Bacterial small subunit ribosomal RNA", at positions 334 to 633 of the family's 1533-position model. The record is from RNAcentral.
GGUCCCUACGGGAGGCAGCAGUGAGGAAUAUUGGUCAAUGGGCGCGAGCCUGAACCAGCCAAGUCGCGUGAGGGAAGACGGUCCUAUGGAUUGUAAACCUCUUUUGUCGGGGAGCAAAAGACGCCACGCGUGGCGUUCUGAGAGUACCCGAAGAAAAAGCAUCGGCUAACUCCGUGCCAGCAGCCGCGGUAAUACGGAGGAUGCGAGCGUUAUCCGGAUUUAUUGGGUUUAAAGGGUGCGUAGGCGGAAUAUCAAGUCAGCGGUAAAAAUUCGGGGCUCAACCCAGUCGUGCCGUUACAAC